GGACGUUGAGUCAGUGGGAAGCGUGCCGGUGCAGGCGAGAGACCACCGUUAAGCGUCAUCGCAACCAAAUAAGCGCCGACUCUAGUCAGCGCGAGUUCGCCCUCGCCGCCUGAGCGAGGAGCGACUCUGUCGGACCGGGUGUGUCCCCGACCCGGAUCCCGGCAUCAGCUAGGGGACUUCACUGUCAGGCCUGGUCGCGGGGUCUGGUAGGACACCUCACAGCGACUGGGAUCGUCACACCGGCUGGUCCGCGUGACCGGUGGAUCCGAGUAGAGGCGUAGCGGACUGCGCACGGAGAAGCCCUGACGAGGCGACGGAGGACCCGGGUUCGAUUCCCGGCACCUCCACAU
RNAcentral lists this transfer-messenger RNA (350 nucleotides) under Pseudonocardiaceae bacterium. RNAcentral describes it as "partial transfer-messenger RNA". It matches the Rfam family "transfer-messenger RNA". From Rfam's summary of the family: Bacterial tmRNA, also known as 10Sa RNA or SsrA, is named for its dual tRNA and mRNA-like properties. Its role is to liberate the mRNA from a stalled ribosome. Lineage: Bacteria; Bacillati; Actinomycetota; Actinomycetes; Pseudonocardiales; Pseudonocardiaceae. The record is from RNAcentral.